Molecule: ribosomal RNA, 484 nt
Filed under: uncultured bacterium
Lineage: Bacteria
Description: partial 16S ribosomal RNA
Rfam family: Bacterial small subunit ribosomal RNA
Source: RNAcentral
AUUGAACGCUGGCGGCAGGCCUAACACAUGCAAGUCGAGCGGAUGAAGGGAGCUUGCUCCUGGAUUCAGCGGCGGACGGGUGAGUAAUGCCUAGGAAUCUGCCUGGUAGUGGGGGAUAACGUCCGGAAACGGGCGCUAAUACCGCAUACGUCCUGAGGGAGAAAGUGGGGGAUCUUCGGACCUCACGCUAUCAGAUGAGCCUAGGUCGGAUUAGCUAGUUGGUGGGGUAAAGGCCUACCAAGGCGACGAUCCGUAACUGGUCUGAGAGGAUGAUCAGUCGCACUGGAACUGAGACACGGUCCAGACUCCUACGGGAGGCAGCAGUGGGGAAUAUUGGACGAUAGGCGAAAGCCUGAUCCAGCCAUGCCGCGUGUGUGAAGAAGGUCUUCGGAUUGUAAAACACUUUAAGUUGGGAGGAAGGGCAGUAAGUUAAUACCUUGCUGUUUUGACGUUACCAACAGAAUAAGCACCGGCUAACUUCGUG